Molecule: long non-coding RNA, 624 nt
Organism: Actinia tenebrosa (Australian red waratah sea anemone)
Lineage: Eukaryota; Metazoa; Cnidaria; Anthozoa; Actiniaria; Actiniidae
Source: RefSeq, a predicted model, not a curated record
UGGUUGACGAUCCGCGACAGUUGAAUGUCUAGCAUAUAGAGCGAACUYGGUGAAAUAUUUUGCUGGAGGUACUAGGACUAGUAGUCUAAAUGAUGGCUCGAAAUCAUGAAGUAUUUCCAAGUACCAAGUAGUACAACGAGAUCCCUCCCCCUCCCUAUGGGGAGAGACCAAACUACAGCAGCGAACGCUGAGGGGGUUAGUAUGAGGGGGUCGGCAAAGUCUCCGAUAUCUGAAGAAAAAAAAGUGUCUGGAGUUCCGCAGGCUUGAAUUUUGACAAAAGAUAAGACUAUUGCAGACAGAGAUCAGAUGUUUUGCAACUUACUGAAAGCUCCUGGAAGGAAACAUGCUGUUCUGAACUUAAACCUAAAGAUUUUCAUGCGGUGAUUGAUUAACCGCGCUCUAGAAUGCCGGUUAUAACAUUUUUUGCUAGUAUCAUUGUUCGGUAAUCAGUUAGACCAUUGUUGAGCAGCAGUACUGUUGGAGCUUAUUGGAGUUAUUUAUUCAGGCCUAUCGCGAGACUAAAUGACAUACAGAGGUUGUCUGUCUAUUCAACCAAGAAUCAUCUUUAAAGAUGACUCGUGUUCUUGUUCUUAAGGGAAUAAAAGGAAGCUAGAUGAAACUGAA